Molecule: ribosomal RNA, 403 nt
Filed under: Verrucomicrobiota bacterium
Lineage: Bacteria; Pseudomonadati; Verrucomicrobiota
Description: Verrucomicrobia bacterium partial 16S ribosomal RNA
Rfam family: Bacterial small subunit ribosomal RNA
Source: RNAcentral
UGGGGAAUAUUGCACAAUGGGCGCAAGCCUGAUGCAGCAACGCCGCGUGAACGAUGAAGGUCUUCGGAUCGUAAAGUUCUGUUGCAGGGGAAGAUAAUGACGGUACCCUGUGAGGAAGCCCCGGCUAACUACUUGCCAGCAGCCGCGGUAAUACGUAGGGGGCUAGCGUUAUCCGGAUUUACUGGGCGUAAAGGGUGCGUAGGUGGUCUUUCAAGUCGGUGGUUAAAGGCUACGGCUCAACCGUAGUUAGCCUCCGAAACUGAUAGACUUGAGUGAAGGGGAGGAAAGUGGAAUUCCUAGUGUAGCGGUGAAAUGCGUAGAUAUUAGGAGGAAUACCGGUGGCGAAGGCGACUUUCUGGACUUUUACUGACGCUCAGGUACGAAAGCGUGGGGAGCAAACAGG